CCUCCCAAAGUGCUGGGAUUACAGGCGUGAGCCACCAAGCCCGGCCGUCUUUGAUAUUUCUUAUAAGUGCACAGAAGAAAACGCUGACGUAUGCUGCCUUCCGUCUCUGCUUCGGCUGCCUAUAAGGAAGGGCCGCCGUCCUAUGAUCAUGUAGUGACUUGCGUGACCUUAUCAAUGACUUGGACGACUCACCCUCCUUACCCUAACCCCUUGUCUUGUAUCAGCGCGCCCAGCCAUUCAGGGCCAUUACCGGUCUUCGCAUCUUGGUGGUAGUGGUCCCCUGGGCCCAGCUGUUUUCUCUUCAUCUCUUUGUCUUGUGUAUUUAUUUCUUACGAUCUCUCCACACAUGGUGAGAACACCCGCCAAGCCCCGUGGGGCUGGACUCAAAUGAUAGAAGUCAGGCUUUUAAUCAAACGCAAGCAAUUCAGAAUGCCAAAUUAAGAUCUAUACCCUUUCCCAAAUCCAGUAUCGUAGGAGAAAUUACGAUACAAUAAUUAAUCACCCUCCUCCCGCCAAGCUAAACCUCAGAGAAGUUGAAGUUCUAAAGUUCAAGUCCAGAAAUACUGGGAAGGGAAAAACAAAACAAAGCAAAAAACCCAGGAAACAAACAUCAGGGAAAAACCCAGAAUCUCGUCAUGAAAACAGUGUCCGGUUGCUCUGUUUCUGAUUGGCAGCUCCCAGCUUGUGUUUCACCCCGGCCUCUGGGGCCGGCUCCGUGCCUGGCCUGAGGCCGACUCCCUGGCACAGUCCACACAGUUGGGCCAGGCUUCCUGCCCUGGAAACCAGUUGGGGUUUCUCCAUAGGAACGUGCCUGGGCAGACACAGGGCUUUGCUGGUUCUCCUGCAGCCUCGUUUUGCUGCCUCACUAGCACCAGGCCCACAGCCACACAAUGGGGAAAACGGACUCCACGUGCCUCCAAGGUGAACACCCUAGUCUCAGGAGCAGAGACCUAGCGGCGUCCCAGGGAGAGUGGAGAGACAGCGAGAGAAAUGCUCUGGCUGGUCCAGAGGGCGAAACAGCAGAGACUGUUCUGUAAGAGGCGUGUGAACCGGAGCAACUCCAUCUUGAUGAGGAGCUGGGCAAGACGAGGCUGAGACCUACUGGGCUGCAUCCCCAGGUGGUUAAGGCGUUCUAAGGCACAGGAUGACACAGGAGGUUGGCAAUAGCCACAGGUCACAAAGACCUUGCUGAUAAAACAGUUUGGAGUAAGGAAGCCGGACAAAUUCCUCCAAAACCAAGAUGGUGACGAGAUGGUGACGAGAGUGACCUCUGGCCGUCCUCAGUGCUACACUCCCACCAGUUCCCUGACAGUUCACAAAUGCCACGGCAACGUCAGGAGGUUACUCUACAUGGUCUAAAAGAGGAGGCAAGAAUUAUCCACCCCUUGUUUAGCGUAUCAUCAAGAAAUAACCGAAAAAAUGAGCAGCCAGCAGCUCUCGGGGCCCCUCUGUCUACGGAGUAGCCAAUCUUUAUUACUUUACUUUCCUAAUAAACUUGCUUUCACUUUA
Molecule: long non-coding RNA, 1509 nt
Organism: Cercocebus atys (sooty mangabey)
Lineage: Eukaryota; Metazoa; Chordata; Mammalia; Primates; Cercopithecidae
Exons: 2
Source: RefSeq, a predicted model, not a curated record